GGGCCCGCACAAGCGGUGGAGUAUGUGGUUUAAUUCGAUGCAACGCGAAGAACCUUACCAGGGCUUAAAUGUAGUGGGACAGGUCUAGAGAUAGACCCUUCUUCGGACUCAUUACAAGGUGCUGCAUGGUUGUCGUCAGCUCGUGCCGUGAGGUGUCAGGUUAAGUCCUAUAACGAGCGCAACCCCUAUCGUUAGUUGCCAGCGAGUAAUGUCGGGAACUCUAACGAAACUGCCAGUGCAAACUGUGAGGAAGGUGGGGAUGACGUCAAAUCAUCACGGCCCUUACGUCCUGGCUACACACGUGCUACAAUGGCCGGUACAGAGAGCAGCCACUUCGCAAGAAGGAGCG
RNAcentral lists this ribosomal RNA (349 nucleotides) under uncultured bacterium. RNAcentral describes it as "bacterial SSU rRNA". It matches the Rfam family "Bacterial small subunit ribosomal RNA", at positions 917 to 1269 of the family's 1533-position model. The record is from RNAcentral.